CAGAGGGGGCAAGCGUUGUUCGGAAUUACUGGGCGUAAAGGGCGCGUAGGCGGCCUUCUAAGUCGAACGUGAAAUCCCCGGGCUCAACCCGGGAACUGCGUCCGAUACUGGAAGGCUUGAAUUCGGGAGAGGGAUGCGGAAUUCCAGGUGUAGCGGUGAAAUGCGUAGAUAUCUGGAGGAACACCGGUGGCGAAGGCGGCAUCCUGGACCGGCAUUGACGCUGAGGCGCGAAAGCCAGGGGAGCAAACGGGAUUAGAUACCCCGGUAGUCCUGGCCCUAAACGAUGAAUGCUUGGUGUGGCGGGUAUCGAUCCCUGCCGUGCCGAAGCUAACGCAUUAAGCAUUCCGCCUGGGGAGUACGGUCGCAAGGCUG
RNAcentral lists this ribosomal RNA (372 nucleotides) under uncultured organism. Its description in RNAcentral is "bacterial SSU rRNA". It matches the Rfam family "Bacterial small subunit ribosomal RNA", at positions 526 to 896 of the family's 1533-position model. The record is from RNAcentral.